CUGGAUGGUAGUGUAUUGGACUACCAUGGCGUUCACGGGUAACGGAGAAUUAGGGUUCGAUUCCGGAGAAGGAGCCUGAGAAACGGCUACUACAUCUAAGGAAGGCAGCAGGCGCGUAAAUUACCCAAUCCUGACUCAGGGAGGUAGUGACAAGAUAUAAGAACGCGGUCAAGUAUCGUGAUUUUAGUGAGGGUUUUCUAAACCGAACUUCGAGUACGAUUGGAGGGCAAGUCUGGUGCCAGCAGCCGCGGUAAUUCCAGCUCCAAUAGCGUAUAUUAAAGUUGUUGCAGUUAAAAAGCUCGUAGUUGGAUUUCAUAGUGGAAAUAAGGUAAAACUUGUUGAAACUAAAUACUCCGCAAGGAGUGUUACUGUGAGAAAAUUAGAGUGUUUCAAGCAGGCAAUUGCAGGAAUACAUUAGCAUGGAAUAACGAGUGUGUCUAGAAUCUUGGUUAAUUCUAGAAAACGAUUAAUAGGGACAGUUGGGGGCAUUAGUAUUUAAUUGUCAGAGGUGAAAUUCUUGGAUUUAUUAAAGACUAACAUAUGCGAAAGCAUUUGCCAAGGAUGUUUUCAUUAAUCAAGAACGAAAGAUUGGGGAUCAAAGACGAUCAGAUACCGUC
RNAcentral lists this ribosomal RNA (617 nucleotides) under uncultured ciliate. RNAcentral's name for it is "bacterial SSU rRNA". It matches the Rfam family "Eukaryotic small subunit ribosomal RNA", at positions 319 to 1019 of the family's 1831-position model. Lineage: Eukaryota; Ciliophora. The record is from RNAcentral.